GGAAAUUCCAAACAUAUCUCACUUGCUCUUUCCUUCUUCACUCUCAGUUUCCGUCUUUAUCUCCUUAGGCUUGGUUUAGAGAAUGGAAAAUCCGGUAAAAAGGGUGUUGCUUACCUCUAAUGGGGACGAGAUUUCUCAGAAUAUUGCUUUCCAUUUAGCCAAGCGAGGAUGCAGGUUGGUCUUGAUGGGAAACGAGAACUGUCUAAAAAGUAUCAGCGAGAAGAUAGCAGGAACAGUAAGGGGUAUUGUGCCUGUGGAGAUUGUAGGAAUGGAUAUGGAGGAGGAAAGGGAGGGAGCUUUUGAUGACGCAGUGUGUGAGGCAUGCAGGAUUUUGGGGAAUUUGGAUGCUUUUGUACAUUGCUACGACUAUGAAGGAAAGAUGCAGAACCCUUUAGAAUUAGUUGAAGAUGAGUUCAAAAAGAUAGUGAAAAUAAACUUUAUGGCUCCAUGGUUCCUACUAAAGGCAGUUGGAAGAAGAAUGCGUGACAAUAAGUUGGGAGGUUCAAUUGUCUUUGUGACCUCAAUAAUCGGUGCUGAGAGAGGAAUUUAUCCAGGUGCUGCUGCUUAUGGUUCAUGUUCAGCUGGAAUCCAGCAAUUAGUUAGAGUAAGUGAAUGUGCUCAUAGUCCUCAUAUUUCUUUGUAUUUUCAUUUGUGUGCAUGCAUUUGUGAUGAAACAUAUAUGAAACAUUUUUCCCUCAAUACCCAAAUGUGGGACUUAACACACUCCCUCACAUCUAGGACUAGACAUUUGGAGCUUGAAGUUUUGCAGGAUUGGACAUCUGCGAGCGGCUCAACAUUUAGAUUAGGUUGGCUUUGAUACCAUGUUGAUAAAAUGAACAGAUCCUAAUUCCACUCCAAAAGGCACCUUGUGAGGAAAGGAUUGCUUAGGUCAUAUGUGAAGCAUUUUUUCUUCCAAUAUUUGCUUUGUGGGAAUUGCUUGAAUUCAUUCUUGAGCCAAUGGGUUGGAGUUUAGAUUUUCUGCUUUUAUAUCACUGCUGCUCUGUAUUAUCCUGUUGUGGUAAAAAAAGGUUAUCUUUAGGAGUUCCUUGUGGGUGUAUUUUUUUUUUCCGAUACAAGUCCUGGUUAUCUUUCCACUGAGACAUAAUAAAAUCUGGUCAUAAUUCCUGUUUUUGAGGAUGGAAGUUAUUAAUGCCUUCAUCUCUGAUUAUUGUUUUCAGCAUUCGGCUAUGGAAAUUGGUAAAUACAAAAUCAGGGUGAACGCAAUUGCACGGGGUUUGCACCUACAAGAUGAAUAUCCCUUAGCAGUGGGGAAGGAGAGAGCAGAGAAGUUGGUCACAGAGGUAGCGCCGCUCCAGAGAUGGCUUGAUGCUAGAAAUGAUCUAGCAUCAACUGUCAUUUAUUUAAUAAGUGAUGGCUCACUCUACAUGACUGGGACAACUAUAUUUGUCGAUGGAGGGCAGUCUUUGUCGAGGCCUCGGAUGCGAUCUUUCAUGUGAUACUUUUUUUUCUCUCUUUUAUUUCAGUAUAUAUGGUAGUGGAAUGAGAAAGGGUGUCAUAUUCAUGUUUACAAAUUCAUCAAUUUUAUGGGGCUAUUCGGUUGAGUAGCAUCACGUCUAUAGAACAUUAAUUUUAUGUAAAGUUUUUCAGUUAUCUUGCAAUGUUUUGUUAAUGACCCAAGAAGAGGAAUUUCUCUUCUGGUCUUUCUGAAGUUAUAAAAAAAAAAGCUCUGCUUAAUCUUGUUAUCAUUUUCAACAUCCG
Molecule: unclassified non-coding RNA, 1719 nt
Filed under: Hevea brasiliensis (rubber tree)
Lineage: Eukaryota; Viridiplantae; Streptophyta; Magnoliopsida; Malpighiales; Euphorbiaceae
Source: RNAcentral